GCUGACUCCGGGCCGGGUGGCGGGGUGAGCCGGGGGGUGCAAGCAGUGUACGUAAGUACUGGGCGUAAAGGGGUAGGAGGGGGCCAACUAAGUCAGACGUGAAAUCCCCCGGCUGAACCGGGGAACUGCGUCUGAUACUGGAUGGCUUGAGUUUGGGAGAGGGACGCGGAAUUCCAGGUGUAGCGGUGAAAUGCGUAGAUAUCUGGAGGAACACCGGUGGCGAAGGCGGCGUCCUGGACCAACACUGACACUGAAUAGCGAAAGCCAGGGGAGCAAACGGGAUUAGAUACCCGAGUAGUC
This 300-nucleotide ribosomal RNA is filed under the name uncultured bacterium. Its description in RNAcentral is "bacterial SSU rRNA". It matches the Rfam family "Bacterial small subunit ribosomal RNA", at positions 496 to 795 of the family's 1533-position model. The record is from RNAcentral.